AUUGAACGCUGGCGGCAGGCCUAACACAUGCAAGUCGAGCGGAUGAAGGGAGCUUGCUCCUGGAUUCAGCGGCGGACGGGUGAGUAAUGCCUAGGAAUCUGCCUGGUAGUGGGGGAUAACGUCCGGAAACGGGCGCUAAUACCGCAUACGUCCUGAGGGAGAAAGUGGGGGAUCUUCGGACCUCACGCUAUCAGAUGAGCCUAGGUCGGAUUAGCUAGUUGGUGGGGUAAAGGCCUACCAAGGCGACGAUCCGUAACUGGUCUGAGAGGAUGAUCAGUCACACUGGAGCUGAGACACGGUCCAGACUCCUACGGGAGGCAGCAGUGGGGAAUAUUGGACAAUGGGCGAAAGCCUGAUCCAGCCAUGUCGCGUGUGUGACGAAGGUCUUCGGAUUGUAAAGCACUUUAAGUUGGGAGGAAGGGCAGUAAGUUAAUACCUUGCUGUUUUGACGUUACCAACAGAAUAAGCACCGGCUAACUUCGUG
RNAcentral lists this ribosomal RNA (484 nucleotides) under uncultured bacterium. RNAcentral describes it as "partial 16S ribosomal RNA". It matches the Rfam family "Bacterial small subunit ribosomal RNA", at positions 30 to 507 of the family's 1533-position model. The record is from RNAcentral.